GAGUUUGAUCAUGGCUCAGAUUGAACGCUGGCGGCAUGCCUUACACAUGCAAGUCGAACGGCAGCACGGGAGCAAUCCUGGUGGCGAGUGGCGAACGGGUGAGUAAUACAUCGGAACGUGCCCAGUAGUGGGGGAUAACUACUCGAAAGAGUAGCUAAUACCGCAUACGACCUGAGGGUGAAAGCGGGGGAUCGCAAGACCUCGCGCUAUUGGAGCGGCCGAUGUCAGAUUAGCUAGUUGGUGGGGUAAAGGCCUACCAAGGCAACGAUCUGUAGUUGGUCUUGAGAGGACGACCAGCCACACUGGGACUGAGACACGGCCCAGACUCCUACGGGAGGCAGCAGUGGGGAAUUUUGGACAAUGGGCGCAAGCCUGAUCCAGCAAUGCCGCGUGCAGGAAG
RNAcentral lists this ribosomal RNA (400 nucleotides) under uncultured beta proteobacterium. RNAcentral describes it as "bacterial SSU rRNA". It matches the Rfam family "Bacterial small subunit ribosomal RNA", at positions 9 to 410 of the family's 1533-position model. Lineage: Bacteria; Pseudomonadati; Pseudomonadota; Betaproteobacteria. The record is from RNAcentral.